AACGCACGAGACCUGCGGACCUGCGGAGGGAUCAUUCCAGAAAUUCUGGCUAGUUAAAGCCGGCUAUCGGAAGGUCAAGCGUUGAACUCUGAACAAGUUGGCAACUGGUGAUCAGUUGGAGGGGGGGUGCACCCGGCCCCCCUCACCCCACUAGUUGACGACUGUGAAGGCUGGGGUGCAGUUGUAGGGGUCGGUCACGGGGGCCCGCCAGGGCUCCUCACCCCUGCCCUCACAGUUCCA
Molecule: unclassified non-coding RNA, 240 nt
Filed under: soil metagenome
Description: partial contains 5.8S ribosomal RNA, internal transcribed spacer 2, and large subunit ribosomal RNA
Source: RNAcentral